GCAAGUCGAACGAUGAAAGCUGGAGCUUGCUUUAGCUGGAUUAGUGGCGAACGGGUGAGUAACACGUGAGCAAUCUGCCCCUGACUCUGGGAUAACUUCGAGAAAUCGAAGCUAAUACCGGAUACGACCCUUCCAGGCAUCUGGUGAGGGUGGAAAGAACUUCGGUCAGGGAUGAGCUCGCGGCCUAUCAGCUAGUUGGUGAGGUAAUGGCUCACCAAGGCAUCGACGGGUAGCCGGCCUGAGAGGGCGAUC
This 252-nucleotide ribosomal RNA is filed under the name uncultured bacterium. Its description in RNAcentral is "partial 16S ribosomal RNA". It matches the Rfam family "Bacterial small subunit ribosomal RNA", at positions 57 to 305 of the family's 1533-position model. The record is from RNAcentral.